This 656-nucleotide ribosomal RNA is filed under the name Escherichia coli. Its description in RNAcentral is "partial 23S ribosomal RNA". It matches the Rfam family "Bacterial large subunit ribosomal RNA", at positions 1 to 700 of the family's 2925-position model. The record is from RNAcentral. Lineage: Bacteria; Pseudomonadati; Pseudomonadota; Gammaproteobacteria; Enterobacterales; Enterobacteriaceae.
GGUUAAGCGACUAAGCGUACACGGUGGAUGCCCUGGCAGUCAGAGGCGAUGAAGGACGUGCUAAUCUGCGAUAAGCGUCGGUGAGGUGAUAUGAACCGUUAUAACCGGCGAUUUCCGAAUGGGGAAACCCAGUGUGUUUCGACACACUAUCAUUAACUGAAUCCAUAGGUUAAUGAGGCGAACCGGGGGAACUGAAACAUCUAAGUACCCCGAGGAAAAGAAAUCAACCGAGAUUCCCCCAGUAGCGGCGAGCGAACGGGGAGGAGCCCAGAGCCUGAAUCAGUGUGUGUGUUAGUGGAAGCGUCUGGAAAGGCGCGCGAUACAGGGUGACAGCCCCGUACACAAAAAUGCACAUAUUGUGAGCUCGAUGAGUAGGGCGGGACACGUGGUAUCCUGUCUGAAUAUGGGGGGACCAUCCUCCAAGGCUAAAUACUCCUGACUGACCGAUAGUGAACCAGUACCGUGAGGGAAAGGCGAAAAGAACCCCGGCGAGGGGAGUGAAAAAGAACCUGAAACCGUGUACGUACAAGCAGUGGGAGCCUCUUAAUGGGGUGACUGCGUACCUUUUGUAUAAUGGGUCAGCGACUUAUAUUCUGUAGCAAGGUUAACCGAAUAGGGGAGCCGAAGGGAAACCGAGUCUUAACUGGGCGUUAAGU